RNAcentral lists this ribosomal RNA (294 nucleotides) under Streptomyces sp. SID7982. RNAcentral's name for it is "partial 23S ribosomal RNA". It matches the Rfam family "Bacterial large subunit ribosomal RNA", at positions 2638 to 2925 of the family's 2925-position model. Lineage: Bacteria; Bacillati; Actinomycetota; Actinomycetes; Kitasatosporales; Streptomycetaceae. The record is from RNAcentral.
CUAUCCGCUGUGCGCGUAGGAAUAUUGAGAAGGGCUGUCCCUAGUACGAGAGGACCGGGACGGACGAACCUCUGGUGUGCCAGUUGUUCUGCCAAGGGCAUGGCUGGUUGGCUACGUUCGGGAGGGAUAACCGCUGAAAGCAUCUAAGCGGGAAGCCUGCUUCGAGAUGAGUGUUCCCACCUCCUUGAGAGGGUAAGGCUCCCAGUAGACGACUGGGUUGAUAGGCCGGAUAUGGAAGCCCUGUAAGGGGUGGAGUUGACCGGUACUAAUAGGCCGAGGGCUUGUCCUCAGUUG